Molecule: ribosomal RNA, 427 nt
Filed under: uncultured bacterium
Lineage: Bacteria
Description: partial 16S ribosomal RNA
Rfam family: Bacterial small subunit ribosomal RNA
Source: RNAcentral
UGGGGAAUAUUGCACAAUGGGCGCAAGCCUGAUGCAGCCAUGCCGCGUGUAUGAAGAAGGCCUUCGGGUUGUAAAGUACUUUCAGCGGGGAGGAAGGCGAUAUGGUUAAUAACCUUGUCGAUUGACGUUACCCGCAGAAGAAGCACCGGCUAACUCCGUGCCAGCAGCCGCGGUAAUACGGAGGGUGCAAGAGUUAAUCGGAAUUACUGGGCGUAAAGCGCACGCAGGCGGUCUGUCAAGUCGGAUGUGAAAUCCCCGGGCUCAACCUGGGAACUGCAUCCGAAACUGGCAGGCUAGAGUCUUGUAGAGGGGGGUAGAAUUCCAGGUGUAGCGGUGAAAUGCGUAGAGAUCUGGAGGAAUACCGGUGGCGAAGGCGGCCCCCUGGACAAAGACUGACGCUCAGGUGCGAAAGCGUGGGGAGCAAACA